Oncorhynchus keta (chum salmon) is the source of this 1306-nucleotide long non-coding RNA. RefSeq lists it as uncharacterized. Lineage: Eukaryota; Metazoa; Chordata; Actinopteri; Salmoniformes; Salmonidae. The transcript has 4 exons. The record is from RefSeq and is a predicted model, not a curated record.
GGUCCUGUAUAAUGUGUUGUAGUAGAGUUGCGUUAGCCAGCAUGUAGUUGAGUAGUUGACUGUGUGUUUACCGUGAGGUCCUGUAUAACGUGUUGUAGUAGAGUUGCGUUUGCCAGCAUGUAGUUGUAGUUGACUGUGUGUGUUUACCGUGAGGUCCUGUAUAACGUGUUGUAGUAGAGUUGCGUUAGCCAGCAUGUAGUUGAGUAGUUGACUGUGUGUUUACCGUGAGGUCCUGUAUAAUGUGUAGUAGAGUUGCAUUAGCCAGCAUGUAGUUGUAGUUGACUGUGUGUGUUUACCGUGAGGUCCUGUAUAAUGUGUAGUAGAGUUGCAUUAGCCAGCAUGUGGUUGUAGUUGACUGUGUGUGUUUACCGUGAGGUCCUGUACAAUGUGUUGUAGUAGAGUUGCGUUUGCCAGCAUGUGGUUGAGUAGUUGACUGUGUGUGUUUACCGUGAGGUCCUGUAUAAUGUGUAGUAGAGUUGCAUUAGCCAGCAUAUGGUUGUAGUUGACUGUGUGUGUUUACCGUGAGGUCCUGUAUAAUGUGUAGUAGAGUUGCAUUAGCCAGCAUAUGGUUGUAGUUGACUGUGUGUUUACCGUGAGGUCCUGUAUAAUGUGUAGUAGAGUUGCGUUUGCUAGCAUGUGGUUGAGUAGUUGACUGUGUGUGUUUACCGUGAGGUCCUGUAUAAUGUGUAGUAGAGUUGCAUUAGCCAGCAUAUGGUUGUAGUUGACUGUGUGUUUACCGUGAGGUCCUGUAUAAUGUGUAGUAGAGUUGCAUUAGCCAGCAUAUGGUUGUAGUUGACUGUGUGUUUACCGUGAGGUCCUGUAUAAUGUGUAGUAGAGUUGCAUUAGCCAGCAUGUAGUUGUAGUUGACUGUGUGUGUUUACCGUGAGGUCCUGUAUAAUGUGUAGUAGAGUUGCAUUAGCCAGCAUGUGGUUGUAGUUGACUGUGUGUGUUUACCGUGAGGUCCUGUACAAUGUGUUGUAGUAGAGUCGCGUUUGCCAGCAUGUGGUUGAGUAGAUGACUGUGUGUUUAACGUGAGGUCCUGUAUAAUGUGUAGUAGAGUUGCAUUAGCCAGCAUGUGGUUGUAGUUGACUGUGUGUGUUUACCGUGAGGUCCUGUAUAAUGUGUUGUAGUAGAGUUGCGUUAGCCAGCAUGUAGUUGACUGUGUGUGUUUACCGUGAGGUCCUGUAUAAUGUGUUGUAGUAGAGUUGCGUUAGCCAGCAUGUAGUUGACUGUGUGUGUUUACCGUGAGGUCCUGUAUAAUGUGUUGUAGUAGAGUUGCGUUAGCCAGCAUGUAGUUGACUGUGUG